RNAcentral lists this ribosomal RNA (171 nucleotides) under uncultured bacterium. Its description in RNAcentral is "partial 16S ribosomal RNA". It matches the Rfam family "Bacterial small subunit ribosomal RNA", at positions 1332 to 1500 of the family's 1533-position model. The record is from RNAcentral.
UCGCUAGUAAUCGCGAAUCAGAAUGUCGCGGUGAAUACGUUCCCGGGUCUUGUACACACCGCCCGUCACACCAUGGGAGUCAGUAACGCCCGAAGCCGGUGACCCAACCAGUUCUGGAGGGAGCCGUCGAAGGUGGGACCGAUAACUGGGGUGAAGUCGUAACAAGGUAUC